This 84-nucleotide transfer RNA is filed under the name Chlorobiota bacterium. Its description in RNAcentral is "tRNA-Leu". It matches the Rfam family "tRNA". Rfam says of the family: Transfer RNA (tRNA) molecules are approximately 80 nucleotides in length. Their secondary structure includes four short double-helical elements and three loops (D, anti-codon, and T loops). The record is from RNAcentral. Lineage: Bacteria; Pseudomonadati; Chlorobiota.
GCCCGAGUGGCGGAAUUGGUAGACGCGCUGGUCUCAAAAACCAGUUCCAAUUUUGGAGUGCCGGUUCGACCCCGGCCUCGGGUA